This 754-nucleotide long non-coding RNA is filed under the name Monodelphis domestica (gray short-tailed opossum). RNAcentral's name for it is "lncRNA (ENSMODG00000042502.1)". Lineage: Eukaryota; Metazoa; Chordata; Mammalia; Didelphimorphia; Didelphidae. The record is from RNAcentral.
AGUUUCCAGGCACCAGCUGCCAUGGUCCAUUCUCUAAGCUGCUGCGGUUGUACUGGCAGCUGUAUCAGCCUAAGACAGGCAGACAUCAACAGAAAAGCAAACCAGAGAAGUAAAGGCACUUGCUCAAGAAGCCAGAGAGCUCAGGAGAGUUGUGCAAAGACCCACAAAAAAAUCACAAAUCCUCUGAGUUGGAUCAUGAAAUCAUAUAUCUAGAGUUGGAAGAGACCUCAGAAACCAUCUCAUCUAUUUCCUACUGCAUCGUGUUGCUGAUGAAAGAACUAAAGUCAAGUGACUUGCCUAAGAUCACACAGGUAGUAAAUUUCAGAGGUGGAUUUUAAACCCAUGUCCUUUCAUUCCAGAGACAGGAUUCUUUCCAUUAGAUGACAUCAACUGUGUCUGGUCUAUUAAGCAGCUUACCAUCUCUCUCUCUCUCUCUGGCUGCUUCAGGAUAAAGAAAUGGAUGGAAUGAGGAUAUAAUGAAAUAGAACCAAUGCUAAGGACAAAGUUCAUUCCUCCCUCUAUUCAUAGUCUCAUUGGCUCACUGACUUGGAACAACUGGCAGACCCAAAGCUCAUCUACUCCAACCCCCUCAUUUUCACGAUGAGGAAACAAAUUAAGUGAUUUUCCAAAGGCCACAAGGGUAAUAUACAAUAGAGGUGUGAUAUGAAUUUGGUUUUUCAGAUUGCAAAUUCAGUACUAUCUUCCCCUGUAUCACACUAACUGCUCCAUGGGACAAUAGGAAAGAUAGGUUCAC